GAUGAACGCUGGCGGCGUGCUUAACACAUGCAAGUCGAACGAUGAAGCUGGAGCUUGCUCUGGUGGAUUAGUGGCGAACGGGUGAGUAACACGUGAGCAACCUGCCCCUGACUCUGGGAUAACAGCCGGAAACGGCUGCUAAUACCGGAUAUGCACCAUGAACGCAUGUUCUGUGGUGGGAAAGAUUUUUCGGUUGGGGAUGGGCUCGCGGCCCAUCAGCUUGUUGGUGAGGUAAUGGCUCACCAAGGCGUCGACGGGUAGCCGGCCUGAGAGGGUGACCGGCCACACUGGGACUGAGACACGGCCCAGACUCCUACGGGAGGCAGCAGUGGGGAAUAUUGCACAAUGGGCGAAAGCCUGAUGCAGCAACGCCGCGUGAGGGAUGACGGCCUUCGGGUUGUAAACCUCUUUUAGCAGGGAAGAAGCGAGAGUGACGGUACCUGCAGAAAAAGCGCCGGCUAACUACGUGCCAGCCGCCGCAGUAA
Molecule: ribosomal RNA, 485 nt
Filed under: uncultured bacterium
Lineage: Bacteria
Description: partial 16S ribosomal RNA
Rfam family: Bacterial small subunit ribosomal RNA
Source: RNAcentral